This is an RNA transcript of Alosa sapidissima (American shad), 1827 nucleotides long. It is a transcript of the gene named C-C motif chemokine 4 homolog, with no coding region annotated. The record is from RefSeq and is a predicted model, not a curated record. The transcript has 3 exons. Lineage: Eukaryota; Metazoa; Chordata; Actinopteri; Clupeiformes; Clupeidae.
UUCCACAACUCCUCCUCUCCCACAACUCUUCCUCUCCUCUCCCACAACCCCUUCAACUCACUCCCUAACAGACAGGAAAAGGGACGUUUUUUCUCUGUCGUGGAGAGUGGGUUGUCCUAAGAUGUAAUAUAAGCACGACACGACAGCAAAGGCCAUCAGUCAAUGUGUGAACCUCUGGACACCUGACACCUGAAGACAUCUGAAGAUGUGAAGAUGAAGAUGAAGAUGAAGCUGUCCUGUGUCACUGCUGCUGCUGUUGCUGUUCUGGUGCUGGUGCUCUGCUCCCAGGGACAAAGCAAGUGUAAGUUAUUUUCCACAUUGUUAAUAACCAUGUCAGGGACAAAGCAAGUGUCAGUUUUUUUUCACAUUGUUAAUAACCGUGUCAGGGACAAAGCAAGUGUAAGUUUGGUAGACUGCAUUAGUAUUUUCCCACAUUGGUAAUAACCGUGUCAGUAUGUCAUGGAAACAGAAGAUAAAUCAGUCUACACAGAACUGCCGACACUUGCCGGAAUGUGUAGUAUUGCAGAAAUCUGAUGGUGUGUUUAUGACUUAAGAGAGCAAUAAUCCAUAUGACACCAAGGAGUCCAUCCACCUUUAUGUGUAUGUGUAUAUAAUCCAUAUGACACCUUUAUGUGUGUGUGUAUAUAUAAUCCAUGACACUUUUGUGUGUAUGUGUGUAUAUAAUCCAUGUAGGAGCCACAUUUAAGUUUCUUUUUUUUUUCAACUCAUGUUUUGUUUUUGUGCAUUUUGUGAGGGUGCACCCCCUUUAGGUGGUAACUGGUGCCACCCAACCUGGAUAAAAGAGAUGCCUCCUGCGCAUGACAGGAGAAGAGCAGGCCGCAGAGAGACCGUUCUUGACCUCGCCCGCUCAAACACCUGCCUGACACGCUGCUCUUGUGCUGACAUUGUCUUGCAGUUAGACUCUUAUCAUUUCUGCAUCUCAUUGCAUCUCUUGUUUGUAUUUUAUUUGUAAUAAAACCGGCAUAUUCUCGGACAAAACCAUCUCGUUGGAUUUUUGGGUGCGAGUCAAAACACUGCGAAUUACCUGCCUUCUCAACUCUGGGGGAAAAUGGAUAAAGCUACAGGAAAAGCCAGAAUCGAUUUUUUUGCCAGUACAAUCCAUAUGACAACUUUACGGCGGUCGAUACACCAGAUAAAAGCUGUUUUGAGUAUUACACCAAGCGGAUUCCACUCGAAGCCAUAAAAGGCUAUAAAGUGACCAGCCCCAUCUGCCCCGAUAAGGGAGUCUUGUAACUUUGUGACUGUGAAGGACAAAGAACUGUGCGCCAACCCAGAGGUCAAGGAAGUCCAGUACAUUAUGUACAGAGUGAAGAGGCGUCCUCUGCCAAAUUCUAUUAUUAGUCCCCGCUCCAUCAUUCCAUAAUCAUUAUUUUAUGAUUAUUAUUUUGCCAGCAUUUGGUUGGGGCUUUCCAUCCCUGGUGUCUGAACAAGACACAGUUCAACAAUGACCACAGUGUGGACUGCUGUCAUAUAGAUAUAUAUUAUAUACAUCAAGGGCAUGGCCAUUGUUUAUGUCAUGUGUGUGAUUGCAUGUCACUACUGUUUAGUGUUUUUUUAUGUUUUAUUCUUUUUAUGAAUGCUUAUUUAUUUAUUGAACUUCAUCUCUAUUUUGUUUGAAUUCAUAAUUUCUGCCUUGUUAUCUGAACUUAUAUUUUAUUUGUUAUUUUAAAUCCUUUUUAUCCUUUUAUAAUUCUGUGCUCCUUUUUUACCUAUGUGUGUACAAUGAACUAUCUCUCUGCCUUACGUUGUCUCAACUCCUGUUGUUUUAAAUGUGCUACACAAAUAAAGCGACUUGACUUGACUAUA